GGAGGGUUGCCCGAGUGGUCAAAGGGAGCAGACUGUAAAUCUGCCGGCGGUUGCCUACGUUGGUUCGAACCCAACACCCUCCA
This 83-nucleotide transfer RNA is filed under the name Sandaracinaceae bacterium. RNAcentral describes it as "tRNA-Tyr". It matches the Rfam family "tRNA". From Rfam's summary of the family: Transfer RNA (tRNA) molecules are approximately 80 nucleotides in length. Lineage: Bacteria; Pseudomonadati; Myxococcota; Polyangiales; Sandaracinaceae. The record is from RNAcentral.